UACGAAGGGUGCAAGCGUUAUCCGGAUUCAUUGGGUUUAAAGGGUGCGUAGGUGGGGCGAUAAGUCAGUGGUGAAAUCCUGCGGCUUAACCGUAGAAUUGCCAUUGAUACUGUCGUUCUUGAGUACGCUUGACGUGGGCGGAAUGUGCCGUGUAGCGGUGAAAUGCUUAGAUAUGGCACAGAACACCGAUAGUGAAGACAGCUCACGAAGGCGAAACUGACACUGAGGCACGAAAGCGUGGGGAUCGAACAGGAUUAGAUACCCUGGUAGUCCACGCCGUAAACGAUGAUCACUCGUGAUUGGCGAUAUACGGUCAGUCACCUAGCGAAAGCGUUAAGUGAUCCACCUGGGGAGUACGAUCGCAAGAUUGAA
RNAcentral lists this ribosomal RNA (372 nucleotides) under uncultured bacterium. Its description in RNAcentral is "bacterial SSU rRNA". It matches the Rfam family "Bacterial small subunit ribosomal RNA", at positions 524 to 898 of the family's 1533-position model. The record is from RNAcentral.